CACUUACGGUCACGUCGCAUUCUGAGAACGCCAAGUAGGGUGGAGAGCAAGCCAGCAUCCACCUCAACCCACGAGCCUGGGAUCCAGAGUCGGACCCCAGCCAGUUGAGACACCCAAGCGCCCCCCUUACGUCCUUUUAAGGUUCCAGGGCAUGGUCUACGAGACCAGCACGACCAGUGCCACCAACGUCGGCACGAAACCCACCAGAGACUCUCCCUCGUGGACAGAGGUGCGGAAAUUCUCCAUAAAAUGUGACCAAAUGAAGCCCACCGUUCCAAGAAAGGGACAAUACACCAGAUUCAAGUUCGCCGUGUUGACGUAUUCCAGAAUUCAGAAACUUUGUUAGAAAUCCCAUCUAAAGCGUAGAAUAUGUUUAAAAAAACCUAGCGUAACGUACAAACUUUUCAAACCGCUAAGCAGUAUGCCUGAAAGUAACGUAACAGUGUAGGUCAACUACUCACAAACUUAAAAGACCUUACCGGAGAUAAUUCUACACUGUCACCGAAGAAUGUGUCCGUAGAUCCGAUGCCCUGUGGUUGACCGUGUGGCAGCGACUCUCCCCUGGAACCUCCAGAAAGGACCCGCCCUGCCCACACCUGGAUGUAGCCCGGUGAGACCCAUUUUGCACCUCUGACCUCUUCGGGUAAGGAAAUCUUGUGUUGUUUUCAGGCCCCGGGUGGUGGUGCCGGCCACCGUGGCCCCAGGAAAGUGGCCCCAGGAAACUCGAGAAAGGAAAGGAAACCAAACCGUGUGGCUGCCUGCCUGCCUGCCUUCAGGGGACAGGGAGCUUUGCAGGGGACAGCGCUGGGGCCACCUGGGGCCCGAGGGAGGGAAGAGACUGCGGCCUGUGGCUUGCCUUUUGCCUUGGAGCCCAUAUCUUAAGUCGUACUCAGGAGAAAGGGAGCGGACAGAAAUGCUUCAGGUGCAGACAGGAGGCAAAACCAGAGGGGCGGGGGGGAGCGGCCACUCCGUGCCCCCCACCUCACGGCUGAACACCAGAGGGUACGGGGGAGGGAGACUGGGGGCAGGGCGCACAGCCGCCCCUGGUAAGAGGUGGAGGGACCACCCAGAGGGGGGCCUCCCUCCCAGCCCACCUUGACCCCCCCAACCAGUCCAGAGGCACCAAUGGGAGACCCGCCCCAGCCUAACGACCCCUGAGUGAACAGAGGGAAGGCAGUGCCCUGCCCUCUCCUCCCCGCAGAAGUCCUGGCUGCCAGCAAAGCGGAAGCGCCCAGACCAGCCACAGGCUGGGGGGCACUUACUGGGCACGUCCACCAGGGGCUUGGAGGGGCCGGACUGGCGGGUCUCAAAGGGGCCUCCGGCCCGGCCCACCUCACUCCCCACCCUGCCCUCCUUUGGCUAAGAGUCCUUCCCCUGGUGGGGGAGAUGGGAGUUAGGGUCCACGUAGCGGCAAUGCCCCUCCCCCAGGGGCCGGUCAGGGAGGCACCGAUGGGGGGGGGGGGUCUUUCCCUCCCCCUCCCCGAGGAAAAGGGCUACUAACAAUGCAGGGCAGCCAGGAGCCCCUUAGCCAGGUUCCAAGUAAUGAAGCCACUUCACAUUUUGAAAGGAAGGGUUUCCCCCCAAGGGAGGGAGAGAGGAGGCCCCACAAAGAGCCUGAGGCCACCUUAGCUCUGGGGGACCGGAGGCAGAGAGGCCAGGAGGGAGGCCGUCUCGUUUUCCACCUUGGAGCCCAUACCGGCAUUGUAAGGGCAGUCACACCGGCUCGCUCCACCCUCUCUAGCCUCCAAGCACCCUGGCCUCUCAACCGGGAAGGGGCGAGUGCACUUGGGGUCCCAGCAGCUCAGACGCUGAAGGGGGUGCAGCCCCCGGCUGAGCCCAGUCCAAGCACCCAGCCCCUCGGUAUGAGCCCUGCCAACACAGGGCACUUUCAGUCCCAGCUGGAGGCUGCCUUCACCACCACGAAGCAAAAAGCAACACCCUCAGUGGGCCUAAGAAGGUCAAGGCCAAGAGCCUGCCCCUGUGGGGCUUCUGGUUCCCCACUGGUCCUGUAAGUUUUCAUCAACAGCCUGAGGGUCUCUAGACAGGUCUAGAAGCUUUGAGUGCAGCUGCCAGGAGCUCUGUUACAACCUCGUGGCACAGGGAGCCCAGAGUUCAGUCCCUGCAGGCAGGCGCCCGCUGAGCCCCAGCCAAGGCUACUUGAGGCUUCGGGGAGGGGAGAGCAAAAGCUACCGGUUCCCCAGGCACGUGGCCCCUGCCCCGCCCUGCUUCGGAGGGCCGGGUCCCUGGCGGAGCCUGUGGGAACUGGAGGAGCUCCCCAAGAAAAUGUUUUGCGAGCCGCGGGGUGCCCUGGGGGCACCGCCCACCCGCCUGCGGGAACACAGCAGAAGGCUCUGGGCAGGUGGCACCUUGUGAGGCCGGCCCUCAGGGCACCGUGGAAGGCGUCUUCCAAUGAUCAGGGGGUUGAUCCGGAUGGGAGCCAAGAGCGCUCCCGUGGGGGUUUGCCCCUGGAAAAGCAAGAUCAACUGGGCUGAUUUUUGGAAAAGGUAAGUCACCAAAUGCCUCUUCCCACCCCUGCCGCCAGCCCACACAGGCCAAGUCUUCCCCUGGUGGUGCCUGAGCCUCGGUUCUGUGCCCUCGGAGGCCACGCGUCCACCAGACCUGCCCUGCUGAAGGACAGAGCCGCCCUCCUCUGGCUCUCCCGGCCGUGGAGGCCCGACACCCUCUCUGACCACCAGCCUCUAGGAUAGGCUUCCAGCAUGGCGGACACCAGGCCUGCUUCCCCAUCCCCACAAGGGAAGGCCAGACCCCCGCUUUCCAGGGCUGUGGGUCACUGAGUGCAAAAGCCCACGUGGGGCUGGGUCAAGGCUCGCUAUGGAGACCACAAGGGGCUGAGAGAACAGCAGGACAGGGCAGCCGGCCCCAGUCAUCCGACCCUUCCCCCUGCCGGGGGACACCCAAUUCUGGCCGCACCCGCGCCUCUGCGCCUCACUCCGCUCCGGACAACACCGCGCAGCCUCCCGUCCACAACGCACGCGGACUCGACGAGACGGCCAAGCACGGAGGCCACACUGGGGGAGGCCCGUGAGCCCCACCGGGAACUUCAGGCGUGGACAGAGCCCUCCUUCCACAGAUAAGGAGCCGGAGUCUCGGCCAGCCUAGCUGCCAGCCCCGCCCAGCCGGAGAGGUCUGACCCCAAAGCCUGGGUCCUCUCCCCCCUCCGGAAAGGAGAGCCGGCGCCGCCUCCUGAAGGGCUGGCCGUCGCCGCUCCCCUCCUUCUACUCGGCCCCAGGUCCGAGGCCGAUAAGCACACAGCGCACAGCGGUCCCACCCCGGCUUUGAGCUCUGAUAAGACACGAGCGGGGCUCUCCUCCAACCCCGCUGGCGGUGGGGUGACAGCCGGCUGACCCCACACGGGGGCGGCGGGGACACAGGAGGAGACGGUCCCUACAGCACCAGAGAUAAGCAGGAUACACUGGCUGCUUGUGUGGAGCCGAAGUGGAGACACUAAACCCACCCACGUUCUGAGGACUCCAUAGGGGGCGAGGCCUCGCAGAAAGGGGGGACAUCCCCAGAAGACCACGGUGGCAGAAAGGACCCUGGCUGACGGCCAGCCCGGGCUGGCUCGGCUGGAAUGCAGGGCAGGCAGCCGACUGGGGCACAGCGGUUCUGAGCGCUCACCACCCCUAUGGGGGGCAGGGCAGUCCCCAGGUCCUCAGAGGGGCUGGCUGUCACUACUCCCCUCCAGGCCCAGAGUCUCUGUUCCCGGGGCCCCCCACACCCCACUCCUGGACAUCCAAGUGCCCCACUGGACAGAGCAGGAGCCUGAAGCCCAGGGAAAAAGUACCUGGCCACUCACUCAUUCCGGAGCAGAGGGCAGAGGCCUGUGGCUGCCUGUGGCACCCCGGACACGCAGGAAGAGAACCGUGACAGCCAACAGAAGCAGGUGUUUGAGAGUGCACGUGAGGGACACCUGGGCUGUGCCUGGGGAGCGGGGCCUGGGGUCCACCUCCACCUUGGGCUGAUGACACUGGACGGCCCGACCCCUGGACGGCCUCCCCUCACUGCCCUCUGCCCCCUGGAGCCUCCCCUCAGCUCUAAAGCCCCCAGCCCAGAAGCCAGCUCGAGGCCAGGGCCCCAGGCACACCUGGGAAUACCGGUCGCUCGGCACUCCGCGCCCUCCCCAGGGCCUGAUCCUGGGAGGACCAGGACAGCAGUACCCACGUGGAGUCGCGGAGUCUAAAUACGACGGGGCUCAACCAUGCGGCAAAAACACAGGGAAGCAUACAGCACAGGCCAAAAAAACAGAGAACCCAGAAAUCCCUAAAGAGCACAAAAACGCAACAGAACAGCACCCUCGAAGGACUAGGCCGCACUGGCAACAACGGGCCUCCCAGGGGUGCAGCUGACCGUGGCCCGUUCUCUGCGGCGCCCCCUCUGCUCCUGCGGCCAGGCCACCAUGGGCAUGGAACACUGCGGCCCCCCUUCUGCCCUCACAGCCAGUCCACGGCAGGCGCAGACCGCUUUCAGGGUCCAAACACACGAUUUCAGCAGUUCUCUCGCUCUGGCCCUGGGGCAUUUCCAACACGCUGGCCAGUGGGUGUUCCUGGGGUCACCUUCCUCCACAACACAGGCUCCUGGGAGGUCCUGGGAGGCCUAGAACGUGGAACAGUGUCCUCUGGAUGCUCCAGGUGAAGCUGGCAGGGAAGGAAGGCCACGCCCAUCACGGCCAUUCCUGGAACGUGGGUUCAAGACACGGGGGGAGCCGGCUGUGUCCCCUAAGAGCCCACACACCAACAUCACCCAUCAGCAUCAGUGGCUUCUAUUACUUGACCCCCCAGGAAGGUGCUGGGCGGGGGGGGGGGGGUUGGGGAGGUGGGGAGUGAUGAGGACAGAUUUCCCAGGUAGACCAGCCCCUCCCCCACCCGCAUAUUUGGACAGCUUCCUGCCCAGAGCCCGAUGGACUGUCUCAGCGGCUCCUCCAGGCAGCCCUCCGAGACUGUCCCUGCAGAAGAGGUGGGACUCAGCUGCUUGGGCAGGCCUGUGCUCAUGGGUGCGUGGGGAUGGGGGCCCCAGAGCUUUUGGGCCCUGUCUCCUGAAACAGCACCCACAUUCCUGCUCUUUGAGGGCCCUCUGGGCCACUCCGCUGGAGAAGAGCACACAGGUCUCCCAGGACAAACAACAGUGUUGUGUGACCGUCAACUAGGACACAUAGGGACAAGCUUCACCCGGAUGUGCCUGGAGUGAAAGCGGUCCCAGUGCUACCCGGACAUGCCCUCCCUGUUACCUCCUGGGCCUUGCCUCCCCCUGUCCCCUGCACCCACCCCCACCUCCCAGUCUGUGGGGUGGACUCCCAGACCACAGCAGUACUCAGGGGCCCGUGCUGGAGGAGUCAGAAUCAGUGUCGCAACACUGACCCCUGCUGGAGCCGCGGGGGAUGGCAGCAAUGCUGGCGAGCAGCCUCCCCUCCCCUGCCCCAGUUCCCCCCAAACCACAGGACAGAAGAUUCCAGGUCUUUCACUGCACUGUCUCCCAGUCCCAACCAGGGAUUACCAUCUCCCCACCCCCAUGCCCACCCCUGUUUCCAGCCGCCAGGCAAACUUCUACUCACCCUUCAAAACCCAGUCGUCAACCACUUGCUUGGGGAUACCCGCCCGAUGUCCCUGCAACCCCCAGUUCCCCAGACCCCAGCCCCUAUCUGUGCUGGACACCAAUCCUUUGCUUCCACGGUGCCCCAUCCUGGUCCCCAGGUAUGUACUGAAUUCAGAUCCAUCCGGAAGAGCCCUUGCAGGGUCCUGGGGCUAGCUCCUGAUUUUACAGAAGACACCCGAGACCCAGAUAUACCUGCGUGUGUACGCACGUGUCCAGGCUAAGCCCCACCCCCAGAGCUGGGCCCCCCAUCAGCCUCCCACCCUGUUCUCCAGCAAACUACAGCAACAAGCAGGAUCCCCCAGGUGCUCCACGUGGCCGUUUCCAGAAACCUGCAGCGCCCGGGGGGCCGCCAGACCAGAGGCCCUCACACGGCAAGCACACGUGCCCGCUUCCUCAAAAGGCACAAGCCAACAGCAGAAACUCUGGAGGACGCAGCUAUCGCGAAGGAGGAGAGCGGUGGCCAGGAGACGUCUCCCUGAUUCCCCGGCAGUCCGCCCGGGGGGCUCCAGGCUCCGGUGAGCCCCAUGCCUCCUACCCGCUGUCCAUUUCCUUCUUAGCGCCCGGCUGUCUGUCGUGCACCACAUCACACCGACCAGUCUGCCCACUGCCCACGCACGCGGAGCAGAAAGAAUCCCCGUGCGCACACCCCUCGACAGCCCCAAGGAUUGUUCUGCAAAGGGGAUAGGGGCUGCAGAGGGGAGAACGUUCCCGCGGCUCUGUCCACCGAGGGCCCGUGUCAUUACUCGCUUCACGGAAGGGAUAACUGAGGCCCAGGCGGUACCGCUGACCUGCUGGAGGCCCCCUGCCAGACGGGCUCUCUGCACAACAGAAAGCGGAGCCAGGAAUGCCCUCAUUCGGGGCCACGCACCCCCGCCUUGGCCGCACCUCCUCCCCGAAGCCCCUGGAGAGCCCCCCGCAGCCAGCCCCACGCGGGGGCUGGGUGCUCAGCACCGCGGGGAGGGGCGCCCCCACCCGCUCCACGAACGGGUGGAGCUCCUCCAAACCGACAACCACGGACCUCCCCAGACACCACUCCGAGUCCCCUGGGGGCAGGGUCACAGGGCCAUAAACAGCUUUAUGUGCAGACACAGCGAUAGGUGUGUGGCUCCAGACCGGCUCGGGGCAUGAAGGCAGGUUUUUUAAGGCUCCUCGGGCAUCCAGAGGACUGCCAGGUGUGGAAAGCUGGGGACUCGGUCCCAGGACGGCCCCUCUCCUCACCGGGGCAGCGGAGCCUCGGAAGACACGAUCCGACGUCACCAGUGCAGCAGGGUCACAGCCACACGAAAGGACAGCAGGCCUCCUCCAGCUCAGGCCAGGAGGCACGGAUUUGCAGCAAUUUCCACGUGUUUCUUCGGAUUUGGGGGAUCGUCCAAUGUUUUUAAAACAAACGUUACCCAAGUCCUGAAAAGAAGUGCUUUGAACAGAGGUAACGCGCAGGCUUCACCGGCUGGGACUCUGCCCCUGAAACCACAGGCAGGGCGCGCCCGGGGGCCCAGAAAACCCCCACAUCUCUCCUCUAAUGCCAUCCUCACAGAAAACCAGCAACGGCACAGCAGAAGCACCACCAAGGGUACCAACGGCUUCUCCCGUGGGAGGCCUGCGCGGCUGGGCCCCUGGGGGCUGCGGCAUCUGGGGAGCGGCAGGGGCUGAAGUUGAAAAACAAAGUAAAGUGGCUGCAGUGAGAGUCAGCCUAUGACCAAGGGAUACGGGGUGACACCGGGGAACGUCUGUUGUCACUGCGGCCGGGGUAGGGGCGUCACGACCGGGGGCGCCCAGCACACCCCCCACGGCAGGCCUGGCCCCGAGGACGGGGGACUACUAUUCCUCCAACCAGCUUGAGAGCUCCCACCCAGACCCCGCAGGACGCCCAGCUCAAGCCCACGUGCCCACCAGCGAGCAAACGGUGCAGGGUCCUUGCUCGGCCCGGCCAGGCCUCCAGACACCAGGCUCUGCCGGGGUUCUCCCGCGGCCUCAGGGCACAGAAACGCUCACAGUGCUGACGGGCCGGACGCAGGAAAGCACACUUCCGUGGUGGGGGAGUCGCCCCCUGAAACCCACCGGCACCCCGCCCACAGAGGAAGCAGCAGAGGGGCAGCGUGGCCACGCCUCCGGGGCUGCCUGUUCGUUGAGGCCGUGCCCUUCCUGUCCCGAGUCCGCUCGCGGAGGAAACAGAACCCACCCUCUGCUGGGAGGCCCUAUUUCUCUGGCUCCAGCCCCCUCCUCUGCAGGACUCUGUGGGCUCAGAGCUGCCCUACAGAAGCGGUGCUCGCUCUCGGGGCUCCAGACCACGCAGGGCCUUCAAGGGCCUAAAUGUGAAGCCCAGGGGCAGGGCUGCCCCGAGAGCCGCCACCCCUGCCACGGCCGUGACCGCUCCUGCCUUCCAGCCUGUCCUCGGGUUUCGUGUUCAGAUGUCACAAUUCUGUGUCUCCCAAGACUCGCUGUGACCUGCCGGCCCCAGGGCAGAGCGCAGAGCGCUGAGCCUGACACACAGUGGGUGCCCAGGCGGGUGCGAGACACGCAGGUGCUGGGCAGCAGAAACUGGAGGAAGGUGGUGCGUGGGGCGAGGGCCUGACUGCCCAAACUCAAUCCCAUAACCCCACUUACCGGCCACGUGCACACAGGAGAGUGGCUUCCCAUCUCUGGGCCUCAGUUUCCUCAUCUGUAAAACGGGGACAAUCAUCCCUACCAUUCAGAGUCAUAGAGAGCCUGCCCAAGUGCGUGCUGCCGAAACUGGGCAAGAUCACACCGAAGUUCGGAGGUGGGGAUCCUGAAUCCCACACUGGGAGGCACGGGGCUGGAGCUGAAGGUCUGGAAGGAACAGGAUCCCUGCCCCGGCCCCUCACGGGCCUCAGACUCUGCCAAAAGUCUCAGGCGCCCAGCGGCCCAAGACUGGAGGUGCUGGGCCUCACGGGGACCCCAACGCCCCACCUGCAGGCUGCGUCCACCAAGCACCUUAGCAACGCUGUUGCUUAAAAAUGAGACCAAGCAAAGCUGGCCCAGCCCGCCCUGGCAAGAGCGCCUCCCUGUGCACAUCUGGACCGCUGCGGCCUCUUCCGACCCAUAGGAAACUGAGCUUGUCAAAAUCUGGAGCAGGGGGAAGCUGAAAGGGAGGGAAAGGACUAGGCACACACUCUCCCCUGGCGUCCUCAGAGGGCAGCGACCCCAGAAGCAUGCCACGGAGAAGGAAACAGGGUCAGAGAGGCUGCACGGCAAGGAAGAGGCUGAGCUGGGAUUUGGCCCUGCCCCUCUGCAGGAGAGGCGGCGCUACCAGAAAGCAGGCCUUCCCUCCCCUCCCUCCCCUCUCUCCCCUCCCUCCCUUCCCUGCAAAAAGGAAAUGCAGACCCACCAUGGAAAGGGGUAGACAGCUGCAUUUUUCCCCUAUAGCAAGUGGGGCCACAGGACUUCCUCACCAAACAGCUCCUAGAAAUGAUCCUUCAGGAAACUAACUGGCCACUCUUGACGUAGAAAGAAAUCUGAAAAGUGACUUACCACGGGAGGGACACACGAGGACAGAAAUCAACACCCCAGAACGGAAGGCUGGAAGGCAACAUGCAGACUUGGGGCCAAGUCAGAACGUCAGGGGCAAAAGGGAGCGGGCCGGCCCUCUCUGGACUCACCCAGAGGAACCCAAAACCCAGGGGGCUCUUUGCAAAGCAAUGCGUACGACACCAAGAGGCAAACAAACGGAGUCAAGAAACCGCGUCUCCACACGUGAGCUGGGCGCUGACUCCCAGAUGCCUCCAACGUGCUGUCCGCCACCUUCCUGGCCCCCACGAGAGACGGGAGUGAUAAUGACCCGAUGCUGAGGUACCAGGGGGCGCCUCUGUUUUGUCUUCUCAACUGCAGGUUCCUGACGGCCGCGCCCGUGGCUCGCGGCUCUGAAUGCCCCGUGCCCAGAACAGGUGGGGAGCCAGACAACGAACGCUCGCAUCUGGCUGUCUGCAAGCCGUCAGCUGCAGGUGCGGGGGGCUAAACAAACUCGUGCGAGAAAUUUAAAAAACCCUACUAUUCUUUCCUUGGCAAAAUGGGAAAACAGACCUAUUAUUUAAUCCCAGCCGGCGCACUCCUCUUUCGAAGACGGUUCUGAAAUAAAAAACACUGUUCCUGGGGAAAGACAGAGAGGGAAUUUGAAACUGAGGCUGAAUGAGGAAGUCUGGGUCUGAUGGAAAGGGAGAGCCAGUCCUGAAGGACAGAGAUCACCAGCGGGAGCCUGAGUUUCCCUCAGAAGGAAUGACACCACUUAAUCCUCCCUCCAAGCCUUUCCCUGUGAUGUCCUCCUUGCCCCCACCCCUCCCGGUUCUUAAAGUCUCCGCUGAAAUCCCACACCUCCUACAAGAAGCGCUCCCAGCUUUCACCAAACUCUGCCAUGACAAUGGCAAUCACCGCGAGGAUACGACGUGCAGCCCGCUAACAUUCUCUGCCCCACCAAAAGAAGGAACACGUUGCCCUGAAGUGCCCCCUGCCGGACGAGGCGAGCCCUACAGGCGCGUCUUGUGCCUGGGAACCUGCUCCGUUUACCCCUAAAGCUUACCUCCGCCCUGGUGUGCAGCUGACUUGAGUCAAUGAGUGCUUCCUUUCUCCCCGCUGGACUCUUGUCCCGGACCCACAAGAAUCCCGUUCUCACUCAUUCAUGUGUUCACAUAAAAUUGCGUGCCUAGUGUAUACCAAGAUCUACCCUAGAUGCUACCUUGACCUGGACAAAUGAGGGAUAUGGUGUGGAGGGGAGGGUCCCUGGAGCCUGGAGGGUUAGGCCAACAUCUUAAUGAAAAAUUGUAAGAA
Felis catus (domestic cat) is the source of this 10389-nucleotide long non-coding RNA. RefSeq lists it as uncharacterized. The record is from RefSeq and is a predicted model, not a curated record. Lineage: Eukaryota; Metazoa; Chordata; Mammalia; Carnivora; Felidae. The transcript is spliced from 3 exons.